GAGUUCAUGCCCUUCGGGGUAGAUCUCCCACCCUUUGUAUACCAUACCUCUGUUGCUUUGGCGGGCCGCCUAGCUACUGGCUUCGGCUGGUAAGUGCCCGCCAGAGGACCCAAAACCCUGAAUAUUAGUGUCGUCUGAGUAAAAUUUUAAUAAUUACAACUUUCAACAACGGAUCUCUUGGUUCU
Molecule: unclassified non-coding RNA, 185 nt
Filed under: rhizosphere metagenome
Description: partial ribosomal RNA internal transcribed spacer region
Source: RNAcentral